AUCAAACUGCAAAGAAGGAGGCAGGAAAUGUGAUGCAGGAAUUACAGGAGGUGCAGGAAGCUUUUGGAGAGGGAAAAAGGAAAAUGCAGUUGGCAACUCAAGAAGCUGCAAAUGUAACAGCUGAAGCUGAAACACUAAGGAAGGAAUUAGUGCAUGUAAAGCAACAACUUGAAGAGGAGAAAAAACGUAAACAUGAGGCAGAAAAUGAGAUUGAAAAUUUGAAGAAAGAAUUGUUGGAAGCUCAAAAAGUGUUGGAGGAAGAGAAAAUUAAAAUACAGGAAGCAAAGAAAGAAAUGGAAGAUACAAAGAGUCACACUGAAAACAUGAAGAAGGAACUGAUGAAAGUGCAAGAAGAACUUGCAGAAGAGAAAAUUGAGGUGAAGGAAGCAAAGAAAGAAAUGGAAGAUACAAAGAGUCACACUGAAAACAUGAAGAAGGAACUGAUGAAAGUGCAAGAAGAACUUGCAGAAGAGAAAAUUGAGGUGAAGGAAGCAAAGAAAGAAAUGGAAGAUACAAAGAGUCACACUGAAAACAUGAAGAAGGAACUGAUGAAAGUGCAAGAAGAACUUGCAGAAGAGAAAAUUGAG
Molecule: long non-coding RNA, 587 nt
Organism: Astatotilapia calliptera (eastern happy)
Lineage: Eukaryota; Metazoa; Chordata; Actinopteri; Cichliformes; Cichlidae
Source: Ensembl